GACGUAGGGCGCGAGCGUUGUCCGGAUUUAUUGGGCGUAAAGAGCUCGUAGGCGGCUUGUCGCGUCGACUGUGAAAUCCCGCGGCUCAACUGCGGGUCUGCAGUCGAUACGGGCAGGCUAGAGUGAUGUAGGGGAGACUGGAAUUCCUGGUGUAGCGGUGAAAUGCGCAGAUAUCGGGAAGAACACCCGUGGCGAAGGCGGUUCUCUGGGACGGUACUGACGCUGAGACGCGAAAGCGUGGGGAGCGAACAGG
Molecule: ribosomal RNA, 253 nt
Filed under: uncultured bacterium
Lineage: Bacteria
Description: partial 16S ribosomal RNA
Rfam family: Bacterial small subunit ribosomal RNA
Source: RNAcentral